This 119-nucleotide ribosomal RNA is filed under the name Pteropus alecto (black flying fox). Lineage: Eukaryota; Metazoa; Chordata; Mammalia; Chiroptera; Pteropodidae. The record is from RNAcentral.
GUCUCUGGCCAUGGCACCCUGAACGUGCCCAAACUCUUCUGAUCUCUGAAGCUAAGCAGGGUCAGGCCUCGUUAGUACUUGGAUGGGAGACUACCUAGGAAAACCAGGUGCUGUAGGUG